Molecule: long non-coding RNA, 3980 nt
Organism: Felis catus (domestic cat)
Lineage: Eukaryota; Metazoa; Chordata; Mammalia; Carnivora; Felidae
Exons: 4
Source: RefSeq, a predicted model, not a curated record
UCCACCUGUGAGAGUACAAGCCUAUAUAUCCCCUUUAGGAAAGGCAAUCCCACUGAUCCCAUGGGCAGGCUGCAGGAAGGAGAGAGAUCCAGCCUCAAUUUUGAGACUUCAGCAUAUAAAUAACAAUAGAAAACCAUGCAAUGCUUGCAGAGUAAGAAGUGAAGCAAUGACAUUAGCUAAUUCCAAAGGAAGAUUAACCCGAGUGGAGAAAAAAGGAGGAAAAUCAGAAAAGUUAAGGCCAAGUGUUUCAAGAAAGAAGCAAGAUACGGUGAGAAGACUUCCCUCUGCAAACUAGGGAGAAAAGUUUUCACCAGGAACAAAGUCAGCCAGCACCUUGAUCUUGGACUUCCCAGCCUCCAGAAUGCUCUAGUCUAAACGUGCUCUGCUCCCUUUCCAUGGGGAGUCUGUCUUCAGAAGGAUGAUUAUUAUACACGCAACCAUCUGAAGCGUAUUUCUGCAGUGAGCAUCUGUUUCCACUCAGGAGAACAUCUGCCCAAUAGCCAGGUGGGCACAUGUGAAUGGCGGAAGAGGAAGACCUCAUGCUGAUAUGAUCCUCAUGAGAAAAAUCUAUGCUGAGUGAAGGUGACACCAGAGGAUAGUUUUGUCCUGAAAGGAGAAAUUGAAGCAACGGCCAAGUAAUAUGAAUAUAUUUUAAAUUUAAAUUUACACAAAGAAUUAAAAGCCUUUUAAGAUUUAAAAAAGACAGAUUAACAUAAUUAUUCCAUUUCUAUCCAAUUACAGAGCAUCUGCUCUGUAUUUGUAUAUGAAUUGUUUCCCUACCUUUGGCCAAAUCUUCACAACUUUUGAGAGGUAUUCAGCCCCUAUUCUGAAGUCAUCUUAUUUUUCUUGUCCCUAAUUUCUGCCUUUAAUCAUAUGAACUCUGUUCUGUAUCUUUGCAAACCUACUCAAAUUCUUUUUUGAGUGUGGUAGGAAAUCGAUUAACCAUUCGAUCAUCCUUCUCUUUGAAAAAAAAAAUGUUUUCUCUCACUGUCUACCUCCCUUCUCUAUGUUCCCCAAAUGCAAGGCUUUUGGUAUAGUUUUGUUCAGGGCAUAAAUGAUGUGAAGACCCAACAGAACCCAAUUCAAUUCUAUUGACAGAAAUAACCUAGAUAUGGCACCAUUCACCUUGAAUCUGUCUCUUACUUUGAACAUUUGGGGACAGAAACUUUAUCUUGUUCAUCUAUAUAUGCCCAACAACUAGCACAGUGUUUCAUUCAAUGUAGAUCAAUAAAAAGUUGUGGAGUUGUUGUUGUAGUAAUUCGGUUGAGGAACUACAGGCAAAAUGGUAAAAAGCAUAUUGCAUGGUACAUACUCAAGGAAACUAUCCUCAGGACAAUUUCUGUGAAAUAGUGACUUGUAGGCUGAAGUUCUGGGCACAGAUUACAGGAAUAACCCACAUCCUGCAACUCUGGAAUGAGUAACCAAAACUCUGAGAUGUCAAUCUAUUACUGAAACACCUGGUAAUUUUGAUAAACAUUCCAGGCAGCACUGAGAAGAAAUAUAUCAUUGUCCUUGAUUAUCUAGAGCUAUUCCUCAUGGAUCUGGACAGAAGCCCUGGCUUUUUUUUCUCUUACGUUACAGUACAGGAAUUAAGUGCACAGGCCGGUGGACCCAGGUCUGAAAUGAGAUUCCAUCACUAAUGGUGUGACCUUGGGACAAGUCACUGGAACACUAAGACACAUUUUCCUCACCUGUAAAUUAGAAGAACUGAUAGUACCUACACCAUAGAGUUGUAUGUGUUAUAUGGGGAAAAGCUUCAUGGAAGGCCUCCACAUAUGUGUAUACAAUGAAUAUUAGCUAAUUCCGGUUUUCUUCUCAGCAUGGCUGCUUACAAAUCGACCUAGCUGUGCCAACAUAAAUUCAUCUGAAAAGAUUUACCCUGCUCAUACUCCCUGCAAGUGUAAUUUCCCCUCCCUACUGGGCCAUUCUCAUUAUCACACAGUCUGUAAUAUCUCUCAUUUUAAAAUCCCCCUAAGUGCCCUCUUACUUCCUCUAACUACUAUCCAAUUUCCCAAACUCCCCGACAGGGUAUGAGUUAUCAGUGUCCACUUGUGGACUUUCCUUUUUAUUUUAACCCACUUUUAUUUGGCCUCCAGCCCCAUCACUCUGCAACCCCCCAUUUGCCAAGGUCACUGAUAUCUUUUAUUUCCCCAAGCCCAUUGGUCAAUGCUCAGUCAUCCUUUUAUUUGCAUCUUGGGAGCAUCUGACAUAUUUGAUUAUUUCCUCUUUCUUAAAAUGCUUUUGUCACUGGCCUGAUGGGAAAACACUUUAUUCUGGUGUUUCUUCUUCCUCAUCAGCUGCUUCUCAGUUUUCAUUGCCAGGAACUCCUCCUCUUCCCUGAAUAUAAAUGUUGUAAAAUCUAGUCUUUUCCCCUAUUUUUUCUACAUAGACUCCCUCCCUAGAUGAUCUUCUCUAAUUCUGUAGCUAUGGAAAACUUUUGUGUAUUGAUGCCUCCUUUAUUUCUAUUUCUAUUUCUGUAAUUGUCCUCUGUUCCUGAGCUCUCUACUGAUAUCAGGUGGCCCAGGAUCUCUACUUGGGUUUUCAGGAGGUUUUUCAACCUUAUCAUGUUCUGAUUUUACCUCAAAGUUUCAUCCAUACCUUUUCAGUAGAUGUUAUCACUAUUUACUGCCUCUCAGGAAAAAGAAAAAAUAAAAAAACUAAGCUAUACCCUUUUCCCGCACCCCUUUCCAUCUUCUUUUUCAAUCAUAUUUCACUGCCAUCCACAUUGGCCCUCUGAUGAUCUCUAAUUAAACUAUACAAUAUACUUUGUUUGGGGGUCUUUAUCUUUGAUGGUCCUUCUGCCUCCUUGAAAUGAUCUUUUCCUGUAGAAUUCACAAAUCUUGUUUUUUUGUAUAAACCCAAAUGUCAUUUCCUCAGAGAAGUCUUUCCUGAUCACUUACUCUAAUAGAGAACUCCCGUUAUUUUCUGUCCCCUAAUCUAUCAAUCUGCCACAUACCUUUAUUUAACCAUUGCUUAUAAACAUAAGAUCCAUUUUUUCACUUUCCUGUUGACUAUCUCACUGACCCAGAAGAAUUUAAGCUCACUUAGAGCAAGAUCUUUAUUUUUUUCUUCACUGUGUCCACAGUUACUGCUUAUAAUAAACUCUCCAUAAGUAUUUGUGGAAUAGAUGUACUGUAGAGAUGGGACUUGGUUAAGGAAGGAUCUGAUUCAUACUUGGACACUUGAAGGCCAUAUACACAAAAUGUAUAUUCUAUUUAUCUAAAAACUUGCUAUUUUCAUUUGUCUCCUCAAACCUCUUAGGUAUUGAUAGAGUGCUGAAUCUGAAAGAAAAACACAAAAGUGGUAGCUCUGGCCUGCCGUUUAUAAUCUAAAUCCCCUAGGGAAAGUCACUUGAACCAGCAACUCAAUUUCCCAAGUUGUAAAAUGGUGAUCAUCACAUCUUCCAUCACUAACCCAGAGAAUUGUCAAAUGAGAAAAGAAGCCAUCACUUAUUAUGCACCUACUAUAUAUCAGGCAUUGUACACUCAGAUGUGUCUUUCAUAUAUAUUUCUCUUCUGAAUUAUUACAGUGACUUUCUAACUCAUUUCACUGUCUUCACCCAUGAAAUCCAUUUAAGAUGGCCUUGGAGUAAUUCUAAAAAUAUAAAUCGGAUCUUAUCACUCUUCUGAUGACCAGGACACCCUCCUGCAGCUCUCUAUCGACUAGAUAAUAAAGUCCAAAUUCCUUGGAGUGACAAAAACAAACCUUUAAAUUCUGGCCCCUACCUCUUUCUCCUGCUUCAUUUCUUAGAACUCAGCUUUCCUCCAUCCGAGUUUCUUAAAAUAUCACUCACCCAUUUGUCCUUAAAUAAAACAGACUAUUUCUUAUCAUUUGACUCUGUAUUUGUGAUGUUCUCUGCCUGGAUCUUCUCCCAUCCUUUGACUGUCAAACUCGCAUUUAUCCUGUAAAGUUCCAUAGACAUGUAAUCGCCUGCAUGAAGCCUUUAACAGAAUAUGCCCAAACCUCCAGAAGAGUCAACC